Long non-coding RNA from Pongo pygmaeus (Bornean orangutan), 1178 nucleotides. RefSeq lists it as uncharacterized. The record is from RefSeq and is a predicted model, not a curated record. The transcript has 6 exons. NCBI's taxonomy places the organism in Eukaryota, Metazoa, Chordata, Mammalia, Primates, Hominidae.
CAGAUCACAUGAGGUCAGGAGUUUGAGACCAGCCUGGCCAACAUGGCGAAACCCCAUCUCUACUAAAAAUUCAAAAAUUAGCCGGGCGUGGUGGCGCAUGCCUGUAGUCCCAAGUACUUGAGAGGCUGAGAUACAAGAAUCGCUUGAACCCAGGAGGCGGAGUGAGCUGAGAUCGCGCCACUGCACUCCAGCCUGGGAGACACGGUCAUACUCACCAGGACACUUCUUCUCAGCAGCCCAGUGAAAAGGGGAGAUGCUAUAAAAUAUGUACCUAACAAAGCUUGUCAGCAGCUUGAAUGGAGCAAACCAGUCCAGAUCUGAGAAUUCUAGGAAAUAAAUGAAGUUGAACAUUUACUGCCAACAACCAUGUCACUGGGGCCACAGACAACUGGAGCCGCGCAGCUGGGAAGGGGAGGAGUCUGUAGCCAGAGAAGGCAGUGGAAUGCACCCAGGUUGGAUUAUUUAUGGUGUGCUGAUGAAGAGGCAACUUUCCAUAUGAGGAGCAGCUUAACAGAGGAAUAGUCAAGCUAAACUAGGAAGAGGUCCAGUGAGAGAGAGAGAGAGCAACAAAAGCAGACGUGAAUAAAAAUGACAGUGCCUUGACGUAGGACUGUCACCCCCAUUUCACAGAGGAGAGAAUGGAGCCUAAGAGGGGACACUCUCUCAAUGCCACACACAGAUUUUAUUGAAUGUACCAGAAUGGGCUUGCAGACAGAUGCAACGACACAUCAGGGGCCUUACUCACAUUUCUGCUCUCAUGGGGUCAUGUGCAUUAUCAACUGAUGUCCCACAAUGGAGGAUGAAGAUUUACUUCCUCUCUCAUCAAUAAAAAUGUCGGAUAAUUUUUGUGAGUACACAAUUCCAGCUUGAAAAUUAAAGGCAAUGUUCCACUAUAUUCUGGUUUCCAACGUUGGUGUGAAGAAAUCCAAAGCCACUGAUACAGUCAUAAGAAAAAGAUUUGAUUCUUUCUACAUCAAGCAGAACAUCCUUGGAAUUUCUAGCCUGGAUUUCCAAUGCUAACAGAAUGUUCAGAAGGCAUUCAGGCCAGUGAAGUUACCAUCACAACAAAGAUGAAUGCUUUUCAAAAAAGAAUUGCAUUAUUUGCUAAUAACUGAUACUUAGCAGCAAAAUAAAAGCCAUAAAAUAAAGAGGCUGUCAUUUACACUUCCAUAAUAUAG